AGAGGGUGCGAGCGUUAAUCGGAAUUACUGGGCGUAAAGCGCACGUAGUCGGCUUUGCAAGUCGGUUGUGAAAUCCCCGGGCUCAACCUGGGAACUGCAUCCGAGACUGCAUUGCUAGAGUAUGGGAGAGGGAAGCGGAAUUUCUGGUGUAGCAGUGAAAUGCGUAGAUAUCAGAAGGAACAUCAGUGGCGAAGGCGGCUUCCUGGACCAAUACUGACGAUCAGGUGCGAAAGCGUGGGGAGCAAACAGGAUUAGAUACCCUGGUAGUCCACGCCCUAAACGAUGACAACUGGAUGUCGGGAGGGUUUGCCUUCCGGUGUCGUAGCUAACGCGUUAAGUUGUCCGCCUGGGAAGUACGGCCGCAAGGUUG
Molecule: ribosomal RNA, 370 nt
Filed under: uncultured bacterium
Lineage: Bacteria
Description: bacterial SSU rRNA
Rfam family: Bacterial small subunit ribosomal RNA
Source: RNAcentral